Molecule: long non-coding RNA, 2493 nt
Organism: Oncorhynchus tshawytscha (Chinook salmon)
Lineage: Eukaryota; Metazoa; Chordata; Actinopteri; Salmoniformes; Salmonidae
Source: Ensembl
CCCGGUCAAAACCACCUAGAAUACAAAUUAGACCCGGUCAAAACCACCUAGAAUACAAAUUAGACCCGGUCAAAACCACCUAGAAUACAAAUUCGACCCGGUCAAAACCACCUAGAAUACAAAUUCGACCUGGUCAAAACCACCUAGAAUACAAUCCGACCUGGUCAAACCUACCUAGAAUACAAUCCGACCUGGUCAAACCUACCUAGGAAGGACUUUCUAGUCCCCCCGCCUCAGACCCUCACACCUGUACACCCACCUUGAGGUCGACUCCCAUUUGAACUCAGUCAAUUCAGGAAGUGAGUUCAAAAUUCAGUAUUUACCAAAUCGAAAUAUUGAGAGGCUUAAUUCAUCAAUGGAAUUUGAAUACCUCCCCUGAGUUGACUGGAUUGAAAUGAAUCUCUGCAAACCUGACACUUACUGUCAUUAUUGUGGACAUGUUCCCUGCCUUGUCUCAUCUAAUGGGAGAAGGACUACCAAGGUCAGAAGUUUGCUAAAAGUGUGAAAUCUGUGACUUAGAUCGACUAGGCUUUUGUAAACAGCUCAAAGCUUACAUCUAUUUAUUUUUCAUUUAAAGUAACUGUCAAACUUUUCCAGAUUUCUAUGAAAUAUGACAAUUAAUUACUUACAAUAUGAGAAAAAUAGUUUUCCUCCCCCAAAAAAGUAAUUAAGUAUGUUAAAAGCAGCUUUUCUGUAUUUGAAUGGUGUGUAUGUACCCCAACAACAUAAUGGUGUGGGCGUAUACUGGUCUUCACAAAUUUGAAUGCGAGUUGGCCGCUGAUUGGCCAGCUCAUCCUCCUCAGGAGUAUGACAUCAUACUCUAUUUAAACUGUCUGUUUUAGAUACAAGUUUGAGGUGGGGUUUUUGAGGUGUUUAUUUUUCUCCAAUUUAUGCUUUGGCCACAUGAGUAUAGGACGAGUCAACAUUAUUUGGCUUAACAGAAUAUUAACUUUCUUUAAAGUUACAUUUUCACUCGACAGUUACUUUAAGAAACAAGAGAUGAAGCAGCAAUGUUUUAUUUUUCUUAUCUCUAUGUGCAACUUAUUUUAAAACAUAUUUAGCUAUAAUUUUUAUUUAUAUAUUCUGAAAUAAAACAUGGAUACGAAGUUUAUACCAGGGCAAAAGCUUUGAUACAAUGUAUACCCAACUGAUGGUUGAUGACUUGGUUACUAUGGACAAUAGAAUUAGUGUUUUGUUUGGCUAAGGAAGUAGAUAUUAUCAGUGAAAAUGACCUAUGUUAAUGUUCAAAUGUGUUGCUUGAAUAGUGCAAGAAAAUAAUGUUAUUUAAUAGAAAUUAUAAACAAUUGCCAAGAUUUGCCUGCUCAUGUUUCAGAAACACCCACACCAGCUAAGCUCACAUUUUAAUUUGAGAGGAAUUGUUUGACUUAGCUACUAGUUUCAUAAGUUCAGAGAGUCAUGUUUAAGACAUUUUGGAUUACAAUCAAUCCGUAGUCAUGGUUGAAUAAUGUAAUAUUUCUGUCAUGUUGUUAGACCGUCAUGCCCGUAACUGUACUUACCUUUUGUAAAUACCUGUAAUGUGUGUCGCAUUUUAAAAAAUACUGCAAAGAUGCUUUGGUAUUAUUUGCUCUUCCUGUUUGAUGUUGAAUAAUGCUUUAUUUUGCGAUUGCAGCCAUUGUUGGUUCAUUAGUUUUCCCCACUAGUAGUCAGGUUUACUUAGCAUUUAAACCUUUUUUUAAGUAAGGAAUUAAACAUAAAAGGUCAUAAAACCAUUUCAUGUUUCUAGCUUAGUUUUUGUUCUUUGUUCACCUCAGAAAUUAAGGUGUAAAAAUGUCCCUUAUGUGAAUGCUUUUGUAAAGCUGCACAUAUAUUUUAAUGGGGCUAUUUAUCCACACUAAAAAGGUUGAUGUUGAAAUUGACUUUUGAAACUAGCAAUUGUUGAGAGAAGUUGAACAAAGAUAAAGACCUUUUAUCUAUAACUGUGUGACCGGUGACGAUUCCUUUCCAGUAGUGGCAUUUUGCCAGAGAGAUGACAUUUUACCAUGCCUAGAAGGCCCGAAAUAAUUCAAUUUAGUUUAAAAGUAAUGUUACCUCAAAAUGCCACUUAAUUUAGAUCUUAAAUUCUACAUACAUUUGGAAACUUGUUGUCCUCCUCUCUUGUGUUCUGCUCUGUCAUUCUCACAGUGUUUGCUAGCUAUUAAAACCAUUAAUUAUUUCAUCAUGCCCAUCAGACAGUCAGUGGUAUUCAAAAGCUCUGUUUGGGAAAAUAUCUGAAUUUUCUGUCCUCCGUUGUUACGGUGCUUUAUUGUGUAGUUUGCAAGUUUACAGGACUGUCGAGAGAUUCAGAGGAAAUAUAUUUACCAUGUUAUUUUGCUGCUUUCUACAAAAGUUGAUUAUUUAGUAAGCUUACAAGUGUUCAAUUUUCCGUUUUGUCUGUUUGUGUAACAACACUAUCAUGGAUAAUAAAAGAGAUAUUUUUUGCACAAGGUGUGUGUUCCCAGCUCCUGGUACAUAGCAUAUCUCCCAUAUUUCUGU